Molecule: ribosomal RNA, 259 nt
Filed under: uncultured bacterium
Lineage: Bacteria
Description: partial 16S ribosomal RNA
Rfam family: Bacterial small subunit ribosomal RNA
Source: RNAcentral
UACAGAGUGAGCAAGCGUUACCCAUCCUAACUGGGUGUAAAGGGUGUGUAGGUGGUUAUUAUAUAGAUGACUAAAUGAAAAUUGCUGUGUUUGGCAGGUGUUUUUAGUACCAAAUAUCUUUGAGAUAUAAAGAGAUUAAUUAGUAUACACAGUGUUACUUAUUUAGGAAAUUGUCUAUCUUGUGGGGACUACCAAUAGCGAAGGCGUUUAAUCUGUUAUAUUCUGACACUGAGGCACGAAAUCGUGGGGAGCAAAAGGG